Acipenser ruthenus (sterlet) is the source of this 1058-nucleotide long non-coding RNA. RefSeq lists it as uncharacterized. Lineage: Eukaryota; Metazoa; Chordata; Actinopteri; Acipenseriformes; Acipenseridae. The transcript has 6 exons. The record is from RefSeq and is a predicted model, not a curated record.
AAUGUCACUACAAACUGAACAAUGGAGACUACUGAAAUUCAGCUGACUGAUGGCACCACUAUCAUGAAUUUCAGUGUUUCAUCUGCUAUAAAGGAAAGGAUCCAAUCUGAUCCUGGCUAUGCUAACUGGUUGUUUGCUGAGGCAUUGAAGGGCAUUACAACUGGACAAGUAAAAGAGGGUGGGGAGACUGCAUUAGCCACAAAAUCUCAGAGCAUGUCUCCAGUUUUGGAAGGAAAUGAUGACUCUGAAUGCAGUUCCCAGUCAAUCAAUAGUCAGGCUCCAAUAUUUCAAGAUUUUGACAGUAAGACUACCUUCUUAUUGAUCAACAUUACAAGACUCCACUGUUCAAUACAAACAAAGGACAUUUCUUUCAAACACUCUACAAAAAGUUCCUUGGUCACGGAUAUAAUUUCCCUCCUGAGAGGAUCCGAAAAAAAUCCUUCUUGUCACCUACAAGAGAGCCAAGGACCGGAGCAGAGAGACUGGCCAAGGCAGAAUUACCUGGGAGUACUUUGAGGCUAUUGACAGUCUACUCUCCAAAACUGUGGGAGCACCACCACCAACUGGCUCCAUUUCAUGCACACCCCUAUUUCCCGCAGCUGCACAUUCAUCCCCAACAGUAACACCUCACAUAUCGCCUCUCCCAGCACUCUGCACAGACUCUACUCCCAUUCUGUCCCAAACUCAAACACUUGACACUCCAUGCCUCACCAGCCCUCCACCCAGUGUCACUCCAUCCACUUCUAAAUCACAAGCACAUGCACAUAAACGUAGAGAGACUCAAUCCACUGAUGCUUCACACUCAUUCCUACAAAAGUAUGAGAAUCAUGCUGAAAGAUGUACAGCUGUUAGAGUCACUGCUAGAGAGGAAAAGCAGGAAAAGAGGAGAAAAAGGUUGUGGGACAAAAGAAAGGAACAGAGACACUGAAAUGUUGGCCUGUUUAAAACAGAUGUCUUCCGCAUUGCAGAGCAUCUCUGCCAAACCGGACCACAUAAUUGUACUGCUUGAGAAACGAUCGUGAAUUUCAUUGUUUUUAAAUAAACACUUUGAAUUGUAA